This 121-nucleotide ribosomal RNA is filed under the name Allosalinactinospora lopnorensis. The record is from RNAcentral. Lineage: Bacteria; Bacillati; Actinomycetota; Actinomycetes; Streptosporangiales; Nocardiopsidaceae.
GUGCGGCGGCCACAGCGGAAGGGAAACACCCGGACCCAUACCGAACCCGGCCGUUAAGCCUUCCAGCGCCGAUGGUACUGCCCCCAUGGUGCGGGGCGGGAGAGUAGGACACCGCCGCACC